RNAcentral lists this ribosomal RNA (567 nucleotides) under Salmonella enterica subsp. enterica serovar Derby. RNAcentral's name for it is "partial 23S ribosomal RNA". It matches the Rfam family "Bacterial large subunit ribosomal RNA", at positions 1211 to 1773 of the family's 2925-position model. The record is from RNAcentral. Lineage: Bacteria; Pseudomonadati; Pseudomonadota; Gammaproteobacteria; Enterobacterales; Enterobacteriaceae.
ACUCAGGUGUUGUUGGGUAGGGGAGCGUUCUGUAAGCCUGUGAAGGUGGCCUGUGAGGGUUGCUGGAGGUAUCAGAAGUGCGAAUGCUGACAUAAGUAACGAUAAAGCGGGUGAAAAGCCCGCUCGCCGGAAGACCAAGGGUUCCUGUCCAACGUUAAUCGGGGCAGGGUGAGUCGACCCCUAAGGCGAGGCCGAAAGGCGUAGUCGAUGGGAAACGGGUUAAUAUUCCCGUACUUGGUGUUACUGCGAAGGGGGGACGGAGAAGGCUAUGUUGGCCGGGCGACGGUUGUCCCGGUUUAAGCGUGUAGGUGUGUGUUCCAGGUAAAUCCGGUUCACUUUAACACUGAGGCGUGAUGACGAGGCACUACGGUGCUGAAGCAACAAAUGCCCUGCUUCCAGGAAAAGCCUCUAAGCAUCAGGUAACAUCAAAUCGUACCCCAAACCGACACAGGUGGUCAGGUAGAGAAUACCAAGGCGCUUGAGAGAACUCGGGUGAAGGAACUAGGCAAAAUGGUGCCGUAACUUCGGGAGAAGGCACGCUGACAUGUAGGUGAAGUGAUUUACUCA